CGGGGGAUAACCUGCCGAAAGGCGGGCUAAUACCGCAUAAGACCACAGUGACCACGGUCACAGCGGUCAAAGCUGGCCUCUUCUUGAAAGCUAGCACUCGAGGAUCAACCCGCGGCCCAUCAGCUAGUUGGUAGGGUAAUGGCCUACCAAGGCUAAGACGGGUAGCUGGUCUGAGAGGAUGAUCAGCCACACUGGAACUGAGACACGGUCCAG
RNAcentral lists this ribosomal RNA (213 nucleotides) under uncultured bacterium. Its description in RNAcentral is "partial 16S ribosomal RNA". It matches the Rfam family "Bacterial small subunit ribosomal RNA", at positions 137 to 334 of the family's 1533-position model. The record is from RNAcentral.